AUUACUCAACUGAGUACGCGUUGCGUUGUGUGAGCAUGAAAUUAUUAUUAUAUUCUCAAUUAAGCUUAUUCGCAUAAAGCAUGCGCUAUUUAAGUUAACUAAAGCGAAGCUACUUGUACUCUGUCUGUCUGCUGAUUGACCCGCUAAGUAAACAUUCGUUGGCGGCGGCCGCUGUAUUUCGCCCUCACGUGUUCACUUCGACGACGACAACAAGACUGCUAGUGCUGAUCAGUAUUGUAAAUAAAAAUGUUGACAAUAAAAAGCUCGCGCCAUAAUAGGCGAGAUGGAUAAGCAGUGUAUGCGCCGAAAACCGUA
This is a long non-coding RNA of Bactrocera oleae (olive fruit fly), 315 nucleotides long. RefSeq lists it as uncharacterized. Lineage: Eukaryota; Metazoa; Arthropoda; Insecta; Diptera; Tephritidae. The record is from RefSeq and is a predicted model, not a curated record.